CCUACGGGCGGCUGCAGUGGGGAAUAUUGGACAAUGGGGGCAACCCUGAUCCAGCCAUGCCGCGUGUGUGAAGAAGGCCCUCGGGUUGUAAAGCACUUUCAGUGAGGAAGAACGCCUGGUGGUUAAUACCCAUCAGGAAAGACAUCACUCACAGAAGAAGCACCGGCUAACUCCGUGCCAGCAGCCGCGGUAAUACGGAGGGUGCGAGCGUUAAUCGGAAUUACUGGGCGUAAAGCGCGCGUAGGUGGCUUGAUAAGCCGGUUGUGAAAGCCCCGGGCUCAACCUGGGAACGGCAUCCGGAACUGUCAAGCUAGAGUGCAGGAGAGGAAGGUAGAAUUCCCGGUGUAGCGGUGAAAUGCGUAGAGAUCGGGGGGAAUACCAGUGGCGAAGGCGGCCUUCUGGACUGACACUGACACUGAGGUGCGAAAGCGUGGGUAGCAAACAGGAUUAGAUACCCGAGUAGUC
Molecule: ribosomal RNA, 465 nt
Filed under: Vreelandella stevensii
Lineage: Bacteria; Pseudomonadati; Pseudomonadota; Gammaproteobacteria; Oceanospirillales; Halomonadaceae
Description: partial 16S ribosomal RNA
Rfam family: Bacterial small subunit ribosomal RNA
Source: RNAcentral